Long non-coding RNA from Pollicipes pollicipes, 1203 nucleotides. RefSeq lists it as uncharacterized. The transcript is spliced from 3 exons. The record is from RefSeq and is a predicted model, not a curated record. NCBI's taxonomy places the organism in Eukaryota, Metazoa, Arthropoda, Thecostraca, Pollicipedomorpha, Pollicipedidae.
GAUGGAUGCGGCGUGGCUAGCGUGGCGGACAACAGUUACCACAAAGCCCAUACAGCUGCUCAUACCAUUUGCAUGGCUUUUUCAAUUGAAUGGCCUUCCGCCAGAGCACGUUCUGAAAGCUUCAGUAGAAGAUAAUCGUAAAGGCAAGAAUUGAAUCGCUGAUUGUUUUUUGGGCCUCCAUACCAGUUCGGUCGAAAAGGACAGAUGAUACAUUUAUUUGUCUUUGGGGCGCUGGUGUCGGUGUGCAGCGCAGCACAGAAGCCGUGUUCUUUUCCUAACACGGAGAAGCCGGUGUGUGCCACCGAUGGCAACACAUACAUGAACAUGCAGGAGCUCGAGUGCCUGGCGAUGGAACGACGCCGCGUCGGACUGGAGGAGAUUUUCGUGCGGCACGAUGGCCGGUGUGAUGCUGUCUCCCACCUCAACAAGCGCACCAGCUAUGGCCGCUUCAGCUGGGUGAACAGGCCGUCCAGCGGAGUCAAGCCAGCGGCGUCCGCCGUUGCUCUCUUGGCGGCCCAUGUUGUAAGGGCACGCGCCCUCUGAGCUCUGCCUAUGCCAUUCUAGUCGGCAAACAUGUUGCGCCGUGCUUCCAGCUGACGUCGCGUUUCACGGCAGGCAUUUGUUCUGCAUUUGUGGUUCACCUAAAACAUGGCAAAGGAUGCGUCUUGCGGAUGUUCACCACGACAGUCCUGAGCAAGUAAGCAUUUUGCUUGAAACUUUUUGGUUUGGCUGCGACAGUGCGAAUGAUCGAUUGUUGCAAUAGACAGAGCGUCACACACGCAGGACUGCCACAAUCCUUUACACGGUGCGGUAUUCCAAUAUUGGAUGUAGCAGCUUGUUUCAAAAAUGACUCGCGAUCUAUGAUCUAGGACUGCGAUCAAGAACAAGUCAACCUCUACGGCAGGUGGUCGCCGGUGACUGAGCAAUUAUUAGUGACUUCGUGGCAAAAUAAACAAUUAUCUGAGCAAAGCUAUGACCAACUGGACGUGUGUGACCUUCCCUGUUGCUGCCUCACAUUCGAACGAGAAGGCACGGGCUACUGGCUCAGCCUGAAGGGCAGUCUAUUUUUGGAUCGCACAAAUUGCAAGAGCUGCAGAUGAUUUACAGUGAGAUAAGAGCUCCACCAGUGCUCAGUUGAUAACUACUUUAUCCUAUAUCAAUAAAGCACUGGAGUUUUGGGGAAAUUCCGGAAGAAUACAAGGA